AGCGAAUAUCACUAUCUAUGUGUGCAGCCGCAGGCCCCUGGCUCUCUGUUACCGCAGAGGGGACCCAGCACACUGCUUCUACUCUUCUCUUCUCCUCUCUUCCAAUAACUCUCGCGAGACCCGUGGCCUUCUGAGCGUUGCCAAGGGUUACCAUGACAACGCUCCGCGCGGCACGCAGGCCGCGGGUCUCACAAGUUAUUGGAUGAGAGGAGACGAGUAGAAGCAGUGUGCUGGGCCCCCUCUGGGGCAAAAACAAGUGUUGCAUUAACAAGUGUUGCAUUUAUAAUUUUGUCCAGUGUAUAUAUGUGAAAAAAACAAGCACGC
Molecule: non-coding RNA, 324 nt
Organism: Pelobates cultripes (western spadefoot toad)
Lineage: Eukaryota; Metazoa; Chordata; Amphibia; Anura; Pelobatidae
Source: the annotation of a GenBank genome assembly